This is a long non-coding RNA of Chiroxiphia lanceolata (lance-tailed manakin), 269 nucleotides long. RefSeq lists it as uncharacterized. Lineage: Eukaryota; Metazoa; Chordata; Aves; Passeriformes; Pipridae. The record is from RefSeq and is a predicted model, not a curated record. The transcript has 4 exons.
CUGCCAGCUCGACAACCAGUGCGAUGAAGGGAGGAGAUGUCCAGGACUCCCGUCCCUACCUCAACAGUUCCUUACGGAGAAGAGUGGAGGGUUUGAGCUGGUUUGAGUUAGGAAAACAAGCAGCUGCAGCUGGUUUGGGUUGCUCCCCCUUCCUUCUGCUAUUGCUAUUUGGGGUGACAGCGCUGGCUGUGAUUUGUUCAGCUCCUGUGCUGGCUGCAGAGCUGCACAUGGAGCUGCAGAAGAGGAGGUCCUGCCCUGGGGAGCAAGCA